AACAUGCUAUAUAAUGAUAUCAGAUCUCGUUAAUUAUAUUAACUAUUUACUACUUUAUAGAAAUGACACUUGUGGUGUACGAACGCUAUAAUAAACUAUUGUACAAAAGAUAGUAUGAAUUGUACUAUGAAGUUGGGCCUAUCUCAUUGUUAAUUGAACACGUGUCCUGCACUUCUACCUUAGCAAUCCACGUGUGUCACUUUAGAUAGAAUAGCUCUGCAAUCUCAAAUUUCCUUCACUCUUCUUCUCUUUCUCCUUCGUUGUUCUCUACAACUCUCUUUCUCCUUUGCUUCUUCGCAGUGUCAUCGGGCUUUGGAGCGGAAUCCAUCUCUUACUUACAGACCCAUCAAACAAUUGAAAAGUCUCCACAUGCACAUAGGGAUUUUUUGGGAGUUCAAGUUAAACAAAAAGGCAACGAUGAUAAAGAAACAGAUGCGUGUGAUCUAUGAAUAGCUCGUAUUGACAAGUAAGGAAUGAACUCCUCACUUCCCGAGAAAACAAUAAGAUUUUGUUUUGCGCCUACUUAAUUUUCAUAUGAAUGGUCAUGUUAUUUUGUUAAUAGAGAUUCCAAUGUUUGCUGAUUUUAAUUAUUUUAUUUCUCUUUCUAUUGUCUUCUUCCAAUUCUCACUUCUACUUCUGAGUAUCAUCUCUUUCUCUCGGUAACAACAACAUAGCCAGUGAAAUCUCACAAGUGGGGUCUGGGGAGGAUAGAGUAUAUGCAACCUUACCUCUACCUUGGGAGGUAGAGAGGCUGUUUUUGAAAGACCCUCGGCUCAAGAAAAGCAUGACAAAAUAUAAAACCUAAAAUUAUGUAAUGCGCUUCUCUUUCUCUAGGACAGUAUCUAGAUUUCGUUAUAGAUUUCGUUAUGCGCUUCACUUCCUUCUUAACUCUAUCAAUGUCGAAUCUCUGUGGUUUUCCCAUGAUCGUCUGUGAUGUUCUUCUUCUACAUUGGGGAAUCGACUCCACAUGUACCUGUAGUGCUGUAUCGUCCAUAAUAUGUUGAUUUAUUUGUCAUAUAUAGCUUCGAGUAAACUCUCCUUACACAAAGUUUUAUUUGACCGUUUUUUGUUGCUUCUGCUAUGAUAAGUCAAAAGUCACUGCAAUUUAAGUGUCUCCAAACACUAAACAAAGCUGAAUUUACUUAAGUUGAGGUUCCAUUUCUAUUUUAUCAGGUAUGGAGUUGCUUCCUAUCUUAUUCCCUCCUAUGGUUAGUUUCGACCGAACUUGAAUAAUAGGAAUUAUUAAUACUUAAUAAGGAACAGAUUAACUGAGUCACAUAUGACAUGUUAUCAUAUUAGGUUGCUUCCUUUCAUGUUUCUGCUUCAUCGUGAUUUGCAUCUCUAUUUGUAGUGAUUGAGACCUCUCAUAGGGUUGAAGUGUGGGUGAAUACCUGUAAUUUUCUCUUGCAUAAAUAGAAGAACACUGAGAAAUGUAAGUGAAAGAUCUAGAAUAUUUAAUCAAGGGAUAACAAAGUUUUCCUGCAUCAUAUUAAGUAAUUUCUUCUAUUCUUUCUUUAUUUUCUAGAUCAACAGCUCCAGUCUUAUUAGAAUGUGAUUAAAUUCAGUAGAGUCCCUUUUAUCUUCAAGAAAGGCAUACAUGUGGCAGUGUGCAUUUAUGUUGAGAACUCUAUAUCUAUUUUUUAUCUAUGGUUUUUGGUAGCAUUUAUUAUUUUCGCAGACUUUACUUAAUCAUUUUCUACACAAGAAUUGGUUGAAUUUUGCUCAUGGCAUGAUGAGGUGUGAGGUUGAUGAUGAAUUUGAGUGUGCGUUAUAAAUGUUGUAAAGUUUUACUAUUUGUUUUACUUUUUUAUUUUCAGACGACAUGGCUGAUAUAGGCUGUAUAUACCUUUCUGAUUCAUAUUCAGUAAAAGUUAGAAUUGCUACCAUUUCAAGCAGUUUAUACAUAUAUCUAGAUCAUUACUAAUCAAGCAUUCACAACCAUAAAGAUGUAACUCUUAAACUCAUUUAGGUAGUCUUUGUAGAAAUAUUGUCAGCGUUGAUUUAAUUGUAUGUUACGAAGAGAAAAGCCUUAUGUAACAGGUUUUAAUGUCCUCCCGAUUCAAAUGCUACCCGACACUAUCAUGUCAGCUUGAUGCGCUACAACAGAUACUUUGUCUCUUUUUCCUUCUGCAGCACCAUUGUUUGUAUAGAUAAAUGAAUUGGUCCAUUUUGAUAAACCUCUUAAUUUUGUAAAUGUCUAUGAUCAUCAACUUCUAAUCGCAAGGAGGGUGUGCAGAUCUGUCCAUCCGUCCUUCAUAAUCAUUCAAGGUACAAUUUAUAUCUCUUACAAUUCAAAGAGUUGAGUUGGUUAAAUUUUUUGCAUCUUCGCUUUGCCGCAAAUCCUAUGAGUCAAGCUUAUUUUAAUGGUCUACUUACUUGCAUUAGUUGCUGGCAACACCAAACAAGGAUGACAUAUUUCUUAAAAAUCAAUGAAGAUAUUAUUUGAGAAAUAACUAAAUAUCUUUUGAUAGUAAUGUAAAUCUGCCUGUUAUUACAUGGUACAUGUCUUUAGGUUAUCAAAAAAUGACAUGGUAAAGGUCUUUAGCCCAGUUUCUAUGAAGUAAAUAAAGCUCACACGUUGGUGUUGUUAGCAAAAGACCAAGCUUGGAGUCCUAGACACACACACACAAAUUAAACCACCAAGUUAUGAAUUUGCUGCUAAUUGCUCUUUUUUAUUUUUUUAUUUUUUUAUUUGUGAGGGAAAAAAGUGAGUGUGUGUGUGUGUGUGGGGGGGGGGGGGCGGUCAAGGGAUUUAAGCUUUGUAUUCCAAAAUAAGUUCUUACAAGAUAUAAAUUGCACGAAACAUCAAUAUUUUAUGUCAUUUUGAUUAAAAAAUAAACUUAUGAGUUAUUGGCAUCUGGAAAAUUGAUGCAAAGCUAUGUUCUCUUGAUGAGUUAUAAUAGAAAUUAGAUGAGCCAUGACAUUUCAAUUUGUGUGUCCAAACUAAUUUUGGAUCAAUUACUUGCAAAUUGCACUUCUAAUUUUCUAUGUGUUUUAGCGAAAAGAACAACAUCAUAUUUGUUAAAAUGCUUUACCGGUGGUUUUUGGCUCAGAACAGCCUUGCCUUUCAGGAAGACGGGCAAGGGUCUCUCUUACUUUGUUAAUGAGAUAGCAAAUAAUAAGUUUAGGAUCACUGAAAUAUGUUUCAAUGUUUUUUUAGGAAUAUGUUUCAAUGUUUUUGGUUGAAGAUAUUUCAUGUUAAUUGCAUUCUAUUCGAUCUAUGAAGUUAUAUUAACUCUUGCAUUGCAUUUGUUUCAAGAGGUCCAAGACACUUCAAUUUCUUUGCAUAUGUUGAUACUCUCUGUAGCAGUGGCAGAGCCAGGAUUUUCACUAAGGGGUUUCAAAAUAUAAAAAGGUAAACACACGAAGAAGACAAAUGGGGUUCAAUGUCUACUGUAUAUACAUAAAAAAUAAUUUUAACCAUGUAUACAUAGUGUAUUUUUCCGCCGAAGGGGGUUUGGAUUAACCCCCUUGGCCUUUCCUCUCUCCGCCCCUGCCGUGUAGGAGCAUUGUGCCGUACUGCCGUUGAACAUUGAAAAGUUUCUCUAUCGACCUACAAAUCUCUUGGAAGAUGAUUGCAAUUCCAUGUACCCUACGGAGAGAGCUGCCACACUUUUAACUUCCCUUCCCCGGCCCCCACCCUUUCCCCCCUAUAAGUUGUAGAUUGACGUUAUACUUUUAGCUCAAUGUAAUACUUAGGCAUUUCCUACUAGUGGACACUUUAUGUCGUGUUUCAUUAGAAGUUGUAUAAGAAUGACUUGUGUAAACAAGCUUUGGAAUUGUUUUGCUAUUGGUACUUCAACCAUGACGUGUUGGGCCAAUUGGUUCCUACCAAUGGUUGCUUCCUCUUGAUCUUAUAAAUUCAUCAAAGAUCCUCCUGCACGUUUCAUCCAUCU
Molecule: long non-coding RNA, 3896 nt
Organism: Lycium ferocissimum
Lineage: Eukaryota; Viridiplantae; Streptophyta; Magnoliopsida; Solanales; Solanaceae
Exons: 2
Source: RefSeq, a predicted model, not a curated record